CCUUACAUUUUGGGACGGGUAUUUUGUUUUACUGAGAUACAUAGUUAAGAUGUUGAUAUACUCUCACUUCAGUCUUUGCAUUCUUAGCCAGAUCCUGUUCUCUCUCGCUUUCUUCUUCCUCCAUUGAAACUGGAUUUACAGCGAUAGGUCAGAAAUUGUUGUGUCAAAUCCAAGCUUAGGCUAUUUAAGUCUUGCAAUAUUGUAUUGCUCUUUUAUUUUGUACCUACCUAACAUUAACUGCAGAUCAUGGUUAUUGUUUUGGGGGUUUGAGCGUCUUCUUGCUUCUCGUUAGUUGCAAUAUAAAAACCAAAUCCUUUUCCCUGUAUGGACUUGGGUAUAAGUAAAACUUGAAAUUUACUUUUCCGGGAACUUAUUUAUUUGUUGUUCCAGUAGCAUGUUUUUCAACAUAGGAGACGAUGCAAUAUAAAAACUAAAUCAUUUUCCAUGUUUGGUUCUUUUGUUUACCCCAUGCAUUUUCGCGCAUGUGCUUUGGUAGCAUAGUACUGAAUUUGAAAUCUGAAUGGAAUUGAAAUUUUAGGUGGGUAGCUCAACUAAACUAUGCUUGCACUGGCUCGUUGCUGCAUCCAGGAUUUCCCUGAGAUCUAAUUUCAGGAAAUGGUUGGUUGCAGGACUUUUUUUUUAUCCUACGGCUAUUUAUUUGAAUGUUUUCACGUAUUGCUGAUUCUCAGUCAGGUAGUAAAAUGAUCCAUGAGAUCCAAAAUCGUUCUAGCUUAUGGUGGAAGCUCUAAUCAUAAGAUAUACAUGCGUGCUAAGUGUUUCAGGAAAUGGUUGGUUGCAGGACUCUUUUUUUCCUACAGCUAUUUAUUUGAAUGUUUUCAGGUAUUGCUGAUUCACAGUCAGGUAGUAAAACGAUCCAUGAGAUCCAAAAUCGUUCUAGCUUAUGGUGGCAACUCUAAUCAUAAGAUAUACAUGCGUACUAAUUUUUUUGGGUUCAUCGACACAUUUAUGUUGUAGUAAUUAGUUUCAAUUUUCUGAUGAUGGCCUAUACUAAACUGUAGAAGCACAUGCUAUUCAAUUAGUGUAACAAUAUCAUUGCCAAUGAGCAUACUUGUAUCAUAAUAUAUUUAUAUCUGUGAUUGAGAAUUCGUACUUCAGAAAUUUUAUGAAUGGAUCAUAUCAAUCCACAUAGCGUUUCAUCUUAAAAUUUUAUUAUUCAGACUGUUAUUAACUUGUUAUUAAUGUAUGCCAUGCACCUUUCUGUUCAGAUUACUAUUGUUGCUCUGAAAUAGGACAAUCCUAUAGUAUUUAAUGGUCACCCAAAUUUUGCUGCCAAUAGUUCUUGCCUAUGAUUCCAGGAAGAAGAGAAUGUGGAUAGCAUAUAACACGUAAAGUCAGUGAUUUUAGCAUUCUGUCAGUGUCAGAAAAUAAGUAGAGACACUGCUAAUGGGAGCAUGUGUGUUGUUAGGAAUUGCAUUAGCGGUUCAGUUUGGUAAUGUCAGUUCAUAUAUUCCUUCAAUUUCCCUUCCAGCUUGCCAUGCUAUGUAAGACAGCCUCAUAAAUACGUAGUUAUAUAGCGAUGCCAUCUAUGUACUGCAGUUCAGUUUGUUCGUGCAGAUAUUAACUACUUACCGCAUCCAGGCCCAGGAUUUGAGUACCGGUGUGGAAGGUGGAGCUGGCCAACGAACCACUCCCCGCGGGCUGAAGUUUCUUCGUUGGCUAUUGGAUUAUAAAAUUAUCUUUUCAGCUUGUUGUUGGAACGGUUCCACGUUUUCCUUGGUCAGAUUCCUAGCAUUUAAAGGAAUUCGUAAUAUUGUGUUGUUCAUGUCCUGACUCAAGUAUUGUCAAAUAAUCACACCUCAAGAUCAAAUAGAAGUAGAAACCAUAAGCUUCAGGCAAGAUUGAACUAUUAGGUUCCAGUGUUCUCCAUAUUAUGAGGGGAUUCUGCUCAUUGCGUGGUGCAAGAUUGCGUUGUUAUGGGGAAGGGCAAAUCUUCAAGGGAUCAACACUUUGCAAGUAACAUGUGGUCUCUCUAGCGCCUUGACAUAUGCUAAGGUGAUUAGACUUACUCUCGUGAUGCCACCGCACAACGUCAACUCCAGCUGGCCUCCUUCUAGGUUUCCUACGCCCUCACUGGUCUAUGGUCAAUUUUGUUUCGUGUCUUCUACGAAUUUCGAUUCUAUUGUAAUCCACUACCACAUUAUGAGGUUUAUGAUGUUUGAAGAAAAGCUUAGUAUGGCAAAGUAGCUUCCCAAGAUGAAAACCAGACCUUUCCGUGCCCGAUGGCAUCUGAAAGUUCUGAGGGGAUGAUGUGCGAUCAUCGACUACCCCGGUUUGGUCACUACGUCAUGCUGCUCCCAGAGAUAUUAACUCACCUGCGCUCUGUCAUGAGGACAAGGACAUAUGAGGUUACACGUGCAAUCUUGUCAUGUGUGUAAAGAUACAAAGUCCCUGAUGAUUUGUAGUUUUUCUGGUUCUUGAAUUACAAAGAGGGUUUCCUUUUCCCAGCCCUGCUGCACGAGGCUACACGUGCAAUCUUGAGAAAAAAUCACAUCCCAUGGCUCAAAGUUCAUAACAUCGAGUUCUCUAAGCAUGAAGAUAAAUGUGUUCUUAACCGAUUUGGUGUUAGGAUGUGGACCUGCCUAUGGUGUUCCAGGAUUUCAACUGCAAUUAACAGCUUGCCUUGCAAAUAUUUGGGGUUACCACUAGGUUUUCGGAAGCCUAGGCGUGUCGAGGUGCAGCCUAUCAUUGACAGGCUUGCAUCCAAAUCCAAAGGCUGGAUUGCAAGGUUGUUGGCUAAGCCAGGGCGUCUGGCCCUAAUCAACUCAGUGUUAUCUUCGACUACAACCUAUUCCUUGACCAUGUUUGCUGCUAACCCUUGGGCUGUGAAGAAGAUGAACAAGAUCUGCGGAGAUUUCCUUUGGGACAUCGAGGAAGGAGUCAAUGGUGGAGGCAAAUGCAUGGUGAGCUCGAAGCAGAUUUGCAGCCCAAAAAUUGUUGGAGGUCUCGGUAUCAUGGAUAUGGUGGCAUUUAAUUAGUAGAGCUCUGAGACUUCGCUGGCUAUGGUUCCAAUGGAAAGGAACGGCCUUGGUUUGGCACCACACUGAGGUGCCCUAUGACCUUGUUGACAAGCAGCUAUUAUCUGCCUGCACCCAAAUUCAGCUUGGCAAUGGUGAAAAAUUCAAGUUAGACAGAUGGAUAUGCAUAUGCACCCCAAUGCCUCUCACAUCUCCUGUUCUACUUGGCCUGGAGGAAAACUUGUUGGUAAAGGAGACACUCAGGGAAACAUAUGGAUGAAAGGCUCAGAGAUAGUUUCUUCAGUUGAGGAGAUGGACCAAUUCUUUGUCUUGUGGCAGAAAACUCAGAGUGUUGAUCUCUCGGAUACCCCUGAUUCCAUAUGUUGGUCGCUCACUUAGGACUGCUGCUACAUAGCAAAGUCGACGUACGAGUUCCAAUUCAAAGCUAAGCCAAGCUCCCUCUGCCUCACUUGAACCAAGUUUGGAAGGUUAGAACUGAGCCAAAAAUCAACUUCCAUUGCUGGCUGUUGGUGCAAGAUAGGCUUUGGACCGCAGACAGAUUGCAACGUCGGGCUAAUCUGCCCAAGAUCUGUGUCCUCUUUGCGAUCAGGUGUCAGAGUCGGCAGCUCACAUCACCAUCGUCUGCCCUUUUGCGAGAGAAGUUUGGCAUGUGCUUUCCAGUGACCAUCCUCUGCCUGACAACAUCGGCACCUCAUCUACCUCCAUUCGGUCUUGGUGGAGCAGGCAGCUCAUCUGUCUUGUACAGUUUUUCCCUACUGAAAUGAAAUGGCAGAGCUCCUGCCUUUAACUGCAGA
Molecule: long non-coding RNA, 3790 nt
Organism: Lolium rigidum
Lineage: Eukaryota; Viridiplantae; Streptophyta; Magnoliopsida; Poales; Poaceae
Exons: 4
Source: RefSeq, a predicted model, not a curated record